This 7113-nucleotide long non-coding RNA is filed under the name Homo sapiens (human). RNAcentral's name for it is "HSALNT0335300". Lineage: Eukaryota; Metazoa; Chordata; Mammalia; Primates; Hominidae. The record is from RNAcentral.
UACAUAUAAUUUUUAUUGACACCUUAAUAAAGCUAGAAAAAAAUAAGUGAAAGGCCUAGUCCGAUGCCCCUUAGAAGACUAGAUUCUAUUUGCAAAUAGGACUCACUGCUGAAAAUUAAUUUUUCAGCUACCCUGGGGUUAAUUGCUCAUGAGGCUCAGCUCUGCAUGGGGCACCAUAAAGAGGCCUGUGGACUAACGGAGAAUCAGGAUUAGGGUAAUAGCCCUUGAAAUGUACCUUCUUGGGAGCUUACAGAAGUGGAGCUCCCCACAGGUAGCCACUACAGAGACAGGCACUGGCUAUUUGCUUGUUUUGCAGUAAACGAUAAGUGUAGAUGUUUUGCAGUUUUUGCUGAGAGAAGCAAAAGGUUGUCCUGAGUCACUGGACACUUACAUUCUCUUUUCAAAACUACUACAAAAAUAUUUAGUACUUAACUAGAAUGUACAUUGAAAUUAUAUUUCCCUAUAAUCCUGUUUGUGUCAGCACAUUAAAAUUCCCUUGAAUGUUUCUUAUGUAACCACUUCUGGUUAACUCUUAUCUUGAAGUUAGUACAAUUUAGUCUUUGCUGUCUUUUUCAUCACUGUGAAAGUCCCUUUCUCAGAUUCUUCAAUUGCAUCAAAUUCCCCAUGCACUCCAAAUCUUAUUCCACUCCCAAUUUAUGUAAAACCAAUUGUGCUUUCAGUCUAUUUAUUUUAGUUCAAGUAGACACCUUAUUUAAAGAGGCUUUAUAGCUCUCAUACUAAUUACUUAUGCACUCACCUGUACUGCAUGAUGGGAGAAAUGCGCAGCCUUCACCGUCAUCAAAACGUUCAGUAAAUACUUAAUUUUUCAUGUCUUUGAUUGAUACUAUGUGAAGAUUUACAAAGAGUUACACAAAACUGGCUUCUUUUCACUAGAAGCUGAAAUUGGAAAGUUGACACAGGUAUAUGGACAAAUACAACAUAAAGCAAAAGUGCAAUUAUUUGGCCUGAUCAAUGUUUAAGUGUGCCCAAGCUCAUUUCCACUUCAUAACAUAUGCUGGUUGUUCCAUCUCCUUUUAAUUCUCUUCCUCCAGAUCUUUAUAUCUCUUGCACUCUCACUUUAUUAUUAAUUUUUGUUGCUGUUGAAAUGCUACUUUCUCAGAGAAAUUUUUUUCUGAUCCUGUUUUCUAAAAUAGAGUUUUCUCCAACAUUUUUACAAAAUUACUCUCUAAGUUCUUAACUUGAUUUUUAUAUAUAUGUUACCAUCACACUUGUCAGUACCUGAAACUGUAUUAUAGAUCAAUUUCUUUGUUUAUGGUUUGUCACCAUAGAAUGAAAUUCCAUAAAGGCCACAAAUUUGUCUUAUUUAUUACUAUAUUUUUAGUGUUUGAAAUAGUGCCUGCUACCUAGGAGGUGCUUGUUAAAUUUUUGUGAGUUAAUGAAUGAAUAAGUCUCAUUUGAUUCAAAAUGAAAGGUGAGGUGAAAUAUUGGGAACAUAUCAAAGAAGAUGUUAAAAUGGUGAAGGAAGAGUCAUCAGGAACACUGUUGAAAUAAGAGAAGGAUCUUAGAGAUUGCCUGCUUGUUGAAAAAGAAUGGAGGAAAACCCAGGUGGAGAAAUUCCAAUUUUGAAUCAAUUUAGGAGCACUGAACAGUAUGAAAGAGAUAUUCUCAGCUGAGUUGUUUAGGGCAGGGGUAUUUGAACGAAAGAACCUGUUGCCUCUUUUUGAUUCCUGAGCUUGAGGAGUUGAGAACAAUGGGUAAACAAUGUUUGUUGUGGCAUGGUACUCAGGGACAUAUCUGCUAGCACCCAUGGAUCUGUUAUCUGUUCCAAACCAAAUCUGGCAGCCUGGUAAAGUGAGGAUUCCAGUUGUCUUGGGUAGUAACUACACUUUCUUUCUUUCUUUCUUUUUUUUAAAUCAUCUGCUACAUUUCUCAGAACUAGGGAAUCCCUGAAAGAAAUUUUCAAGACAUAGAGCACAAAGACUGGAUCUGUUUGUUAUAUUUUGAGUAAGAAUAGAGGCUACUAUUCAGGAAAUGCACUUUGUUAUUUGAGGAAGGGAAAUGUAGAAAGGGCAGUCUGCCCAUUAGCCUUUUCUAAAAAGCAAUCAGUAUUUCCAGUGGCAUCCUUAGCUGGUCAAGCCUCAUAGAACAGUCUUGCCCUGGGGCAUUAUACCUGUUGUGCCCAUUUGUUAUGGGUUUUUCAUGAGUCUCCCAAUUUCAGAAUGUUGCCGUGUUGUCAGACCUUGUGCCUGCCAUGCUAUGGCAUGUUGUCACAAUAAGGCUUCUGAUUUUAGGUGCCGUUUUAUAAUUAUUGAAAAAGUUAGGUAUGUGACAAAGUAUGCUGGACUUCAUAGAUAAAACAAAGUCUACAAAAAAUUUUAAAAAUUAGUCUCUAAUUUUUGCUACUUGUAUAUAUUAAAACCAAUGUGAAUUCUCUGAAUCUUGUCCAGAAUUUCAACCUACUUAACCCACGUGAUUCACAUGAGAAGGGAGGCUAGGAGGGAGAUGGAUCGAGAAAAAUGAAAUAGGAGGAUGUAUUUCACAAUAAAUAAUGAGAAUUUUAUGUAAAGUUCCAAUUAGAAAGAAGGUAGAUUUAGGCCUUCUAAAUAAACUUAAGGUUUCAAGAACCACUUGAAGAAAUCUGUAAAGAGGAGGAUAUCAAGAGCAGGAGGAUAUCUGAGCUAUACACAGUUGUAGCCCAGAUGAAGUAGUACAGGCCCCAAGAAAAAGAAUGGUUAUACAAUGUGACCAAUACUUCCCAAUGGAAGGCUUUUCCAUAUAAUGUAUAACAGAAGUGGUACACAUUCAUAGCAAUUUGAUAAAACAAUUAUAUUUUCCAGUUAAUAGUCACAAUAAUCCUGAUAGGUACAAAAGGUAUUACAAUUAUCCCACUUUUAAGUUAAGAAAAAUGAGUUCUGGAGUGUCUGAGCUUGUAUGUAAGACAUAAAGGCUUUUGGAACUCAUUCAGUGAUUACACAGAGAGAGUCUAUUUCUGCCUGAAACACACAAGGUAAAUUGUGUCUUUAACAACCCAUCUCCUAUCAACCAUCUAUCCAAAAGGCAGGUGCAUCAUAACAGCACAGUAAGUAGAAGGUUCAGGAAGAGCAUGAGAGCUUUUCUUACAGAAAGAGAUCACAUCAAUUGCCUAUUGUGAGUGGAUUACCUUGUGAAAAAUAAGCAUGAUUUAAAUUUUCAGUUGACAGUCAAAAUUCAAUAAACUACUUCGGUGUUGUCAAAGCUGUUUUCUGUAUUCAUAUUACAGAAAAUGGGCCACUUAAUCUUUAAAAAGUGAUCAAUUAGUCUAGCCUACAUCGCUUCUUAUUGGCAAUGCAUGCUACCAGGUGGCUGCUUUUGAAUCUUUAAAAAAAAUUAAAGAAAAUGUCUGAAAGGCAAGGUAAAGAGUAUAAUGAGAUAUGCUAACUUCUUACAAAAUUCUGAAUAAACUCAUGAAACUCCUAAAAUGUUAAUUAGUCCUCUUGUGCUGUAUGCUUAUCACACCUGUUUAGUUAUGCCACCACAGACAUGUUCCCUGGAAUUCUUAUUCUAGUCUGUGACUUCUAGUUAAUGAUGUCAUAAGCCUUUCUCAGUACAUAGUGGCACCAAAAUUCUCUUGUCACUUGGUACAUAGUUCAUAGGGAUGGGAGCACAGAGAAUCAGGUUAGUGGGCCUGGAUUUUAGUUCUGAACUUGUACUAGUUCAUGCAUUUCUAAAACUGUACUUAAAGAAACACAUGCAUGCCCAGGCCCACCCUUAGCCAUUUUUAUAUAGUCAGACUUGAGUGAAGCAAAAAUACCUGUGAUUUUCACAAAGUGUUUCUGAAGCACAGCUCUGCUCAGAGCCCUUGCUUUACAGGUUCCAAUAGUGUCAAAUCUAUGUCACUUAGCCUGAAUCCUCUGGAAAGCCGAGCCUGAAGCAAUGAUUAUGAUUCUAAUAGUUUAUUUUCCAGAUACAAUCACAUCACAGGAUGUUGAGCCUCCUCACCCCAUGUGGAGGUGAGGCUUUCCUCAGGUGGUCCCCUGCCAAAGUGGGGAAGUCAGCUGGAUUCCUUAUCCUACUCAGUACAUUAUUAAAAUUCAGAAGCCAGAGAAGAAUGCAGAACACUUGGAAGUUGUUCAGAGGAGAGCCUCAAAGAUGAUUAAAGGGAUGAGAAAUGAGACCCAAGGAAAGUAUAAUUUAUUGAGAUGAUUCCAUUUUGACAGGGCAGAGUUUGAGGUGAUGACUCAGUUCAUGUUCUGUUGACUAGAACUCGAACUCUGUGCUCUGCCAUAAACUAUAUUGCUAUGUCAAGUAAUGUUCAUAAUUGGGACAAUGAAAAUUUAGUAAUGAAAAAUUUUAUAAUGAUUUUGAUUUCAUUCCUUUUUCCCUGCAACCGAAUUUAAGUUUCAUUAAAUGUAAGGUUAGUGCAUUCUCCUACUUCGCAAAUGGAUAAUACAUAGGAUUCUUAUUUUCACACCACAUCCAGAAAUAGUUUCCACAUUCUAAACUCUGAAACAGGAAAAUGCCUUGGUGUUCAUCUUCAUCCAGAUGAAUCAGGUCUUAAUUUUAGUUUUCUGGAAAGAAAUAGCAGCGUGUACAAAUCAAAUUUUUUAAAUUAAUAAUUGCAGCAGAUUUUCAGGGCUGGCUGAUAAGUCAUUUUCUGUAGUGGUUGCUAAUUGAUUAUUAACUCUCUAGAAUGACUUAAAUAUGAUGCUACCCUAAGACACUGAAAAUAGAGCUGAUCUACUUGGAGCCUAAGAUCUUAUGAAUUUUCUUUUUUUUUUUUAAGCUUUAAAAUUUUUUUUUUGUCAGAGGCUUUUCAGUGUUCUAGUAAAAAAAACCUCUUAGAUUUGCAAGAUUAUAGAUUGCCUAUAAAUAUUCUGCAACUAAUGCAUUUAUGUUUUAAGUCCGUAAAGGAACACUUAGUAUUGCUAUAUCUGCAGGUAGUUUGUUGUACAUUUAUGUUUCUUAAUUACUAUGUUAGUAAACAGUCUCUCGGGUGCUUUUUCUAUGAUUGAUGAACUUACUUUUUAUUUUGAUAAAGAUGGCUGUUGCAUUAGUGCUUAACCUCCAUAGUGUAAUCAUUCUUGCCCCAGACAGAUUUUCUUGACCUGAAAACCAAAUGUCUCUGUGGUAAAUGCAUUACAUAAAAAAAGACCCUACACUCUGCUUUUUCUUCUUGUAAAUCAGUUUUCUUAUGUUUCACUUUUAUGAGUUUCUAGCUGUGAUGUUAUUACAAUUGAUUCAGCAAUGGAAGAAAUAUUUAGUUGGAUUUCAAAGGAAUAUUCUAUGCAGUUGUGGUAGAAAGACAUUCACUUAAGGUAUUGUCUUAGUCCAUUCAUGUUACUACAACAAAAAUGCCAUAAACUGGGCAGCUUAUAGACAAUAAACAUUUAUCAGAGUUCUAGAGACUCGGAAGUCCAAAUCAAGGCAUUGAAGGGCACUAAUCCCUUCAUGAGGCCCUACCUGCUGAUGUGAUCACCCCAAAGGCCCUACCUCCUAAUGCCAUCACCUUGGGGAUUAGGAUUUCAAUAUAUAAAUUUUGGGGAGUACAAGUUGUGACACCAUAGCAGGUAUCUUGAAUAUAUCUUGUAGUCCCAGAUUUUCUAAUUCUUAAGAAUCAUCAAAUCUGAUAAAUUUCACACUUUACAUGUCUUAUGAAUGCCCUACAAGUAGAUGCAGGGGCUAUACUCAGAUUAAAAAAAAAGGGUGGAUGUCUGCAUUUGCUCGUGAGACUAAUCUCAGCUGCAGGCAGACUAUUUCGGAAAAUUGUUAGAAUUUCAUGGGGUAACUUUUACUCCUUCCCAAGCUAAUUAUUUUUAAUUUCUCUUUCCUUCUACUUUUUGUUUGUUUUCCAUGAGUUUUUUUGUUUUAUUUUAUUUUAAUCUGCAGACAAUUUGCAGUGAUUAGAUUUGUUCAAAGUAGACCCAGAUUCUUUAAGACUGGUGAAUCCUCUCAAAUUGAAACAAAACAAAAUUACAGACACAUACAGAGAUGCACACACACAUGCAUACCCACAUAAAAACAAAAUAUACAGAAAGAAAGUAAACUUUUCUGUUAUACUACUAUUCUUGGACCUCAAAAUGAUAUUCAUAAAAGCUUAAGGCAAAAUGAGGGAUGAAAUCCAGAUGAACUGGAACACUUGCUUUAUGCCCUAAGAAUUUAUCUGAAAAGUUGUGGGCAUAUUGAAUUUCACUUUAAAAUUUUGGUAUUAGAAGAGCUAUCAUUGAAUGAAAUUCUGCAGUGCUUCUUUUUGCAAAAUGAAACAUUCUUUUAGAGGGCAGAAGAGCCUCUUUAACAGAUCUCUUUCCAAUGAACCUAUUUUUUCCUGUAGUCUCUUUGAGCAUCAAAUUUAUAAACUGUAAAAUAGAUACUAGUUUGUACUUGAUAGAGUGGUCAAGAGAAUUAAAUGAGAAUUAGUUUUUUGAGUAAUAAAGCCCUACAUAAAUGUCAGUAGGCUUAUGUUUCAGACUGACACCUGUAUUAUAUUAAUAAGUCUUCAUUUAGUUUGUGUAAAGGGGAUGUAAGUUGGUGUCUACUCCUGCUCUGUUACCUGAUUUCUAAAGUGUGAGUUUGUAUAAAUCCUUAAGUACUUUGAACACCAGUUUUUCAUUCACGUAUUCAUUCAGUAAGAAGGUAUCAAGUGCCUACAAUGUACCAGGAUGCCAUUGGCUCUGGGGAUAUAGCAGUGCAAGACAGAAAUGCAGCUCAUGGAGCUGGCGUUCUGAUGGUGAGAUGCAAGCACCAAACAAAGGAAAUACGUAGAUGUCACUGCUACACGUGUUGAGAAAGAAGAUCAUGCUCCUUGAAUCCUUUCUUGUGCAAGACCUUUGAUUCCCUCGUAAGAAAAGAAGCUGCUUUAGAGUGAGGGCUUCAGACCUUUCAUCAUCCUGGCUCUGGUCCAUCCAUCCUUUCUCUGAUCUGUAGCUCAGGAAUGGGGUGAAGUAGACAUGCCCCAGAUGCAUGUCACUGCCAGGCAGGUCCUUGGAUGGGAAAGUACAAGAUGUACUCACAGAAAGGUCUUUGAGAUAUUCCCACACUGUCUUCCACAAUGGUUGACCUAAUUUACACUCCUACCAACAGUGAGUAAUCACUCCUUUAUCUCUACAACCUCUGUGGCAUCUGUUAUUUUUUGACUUUUUAGUGAUAGCCAUUCCGACUGGUGUAAGAUGUAUCUCA